RNAcentral lists this ribosomal RNA (273 nucleotides) under Triticum aestivum (bread wheat). Its description in RNAcentral is "partial small subunit ribosomal RNA". The record is from RNAcentral. Lineage: Eukaryota; Viridiplantae; Streptophyta; Magnoliopsida; Poales; Poaceae.
AUUCUUAGCAAAACUUGUCUCCACCGCUCCUUUUCCUUUGCAAUCUCCCGCUGCAUGUCAUCAUCAAUUGUUUGAUUUUUGCUUAACCUCAACCUUAGAUCAUUCCAUGUGUUCAUGUUUGUUAAAUGCUCAACACUGCUCUCAUGUUCUUGGAGUCUUCCACUGAGACGCUUCCAGUCCCUUAAUCCAUCAGACGCUAGCAAAGACCUGCUCUGGUUUGAUUUGAACAACUUGCAGGCAAAACAAAAAACUUUGUCCAACUCUUUAGAGUAA